RNAcentral lists this ribosomal RNA (374 nucleotides) under uncultured eukaryote. Its description in RNAcentral is "SSU rRNA". It matches the Rfam family "Eukaryotic small subunit ribosomal RNA", at positions 587 to 972 of the family's 1831-position model. The record is from RNAcentral.
AGCUCCAAUAGCGUAUAUUAAAGUUGUUGCAGUUAAAAAGCUCGUAGUUGGAUUUCUGGCAGAGUGACUCCGGCCGGCUGAUGCUUGGUCAGGGGCGCCCUACCAUCCUUCGGUCAACCUUUUCGGAAUUCAUUUUCCGGGCUGGGGCUCCGAUAUUUUACCUUGAGAAAAUUAGAGUGUUUCAGGCAGGCUAUCGCCGGAAUACAUUAGCAUGGAAUAAUGGAAAAGGACUACUACCUCUUCUGUUGGUCUGGGAGGCAGCAGUAAUGAUUAAUAGGGAUAGUUGGGGGCAUUAGUACUUAACUGUCAGAGGUGAAAUUCUCCGAUUUGUUAAAGACUAACUUAUGCGAAAGCAUUUGCCAAGGAUGUUUUCA